Molecule: transfer RNA, 72 nt
Filed under: Camelus ferus (Wild Bactrian camel)
Lineage: Eukaryota; Metazoa; Chordata; Mammalia; Artiodactyla; Camelidae
Rfam family: tRNA
About the family: Transfer RNA (tRNA) molecules are approximately 80 nucleotides in length. Their secondary structure includes four short double-helical elements and three loops (D, anti-codon, and T loops).
Source: Rfam by way of RNAcentral
GUGGGUAUAGCUCAGUGGAAGAGCACAUGCUUAGCACUAGUGAGGUCCUGGGUUCAAUCCCCAGUACCUCCC